GCAAACUUGGUCAUUUAGAGGAAGUAAAAGUCGUAACAAGGUUUCCGUAGGUGAACCUGCGGAAGGAUCAUUACAGAAUGAAAGUGCUUAACUGCAUUUUUUUUACACAUGUGUUUUUCUUUUUUUUUGAAAACUUUGCUUUGGUGGGCCCAUGGCCUGCCAGAGAUUAAACUCAACCAAAUUUUUAUUUAAGUCAACUGAUUAACUAAUAGUCAAAACUUUCAACAACGGAUCUCUUGGUUCUCGCAUCGAUGAAGAACGCAGC
This 265-nucleotide unclassified non-coding RNA is filed under the name uncultured fungus. Its description in RNAcentral is "partial contains small subunit ribosomal RNA, internal transcribed spacer 1, and 5.8S ribosomal RNA". The stretch from base 1 to 73 matches the Rfam family "Eukaryotic small subunit ribosomal RNA", at positions 1759 to 1831 of the family's 1831-position model. Lineage: Eukaryota; Fungi. The record is from RNAcentral.